Cyanistes caeruleus (blue tit) is the source of this 484-nucleotide long non-coding RNA. RefSeq lists it as uncharacterized. The record is from RefSeq and is a predicted model, not a curated record. NCBI's taxonomy places the organism in Eukaryota, Metazoa, Chordata, Aves, Passeriformes, Paridae.
UUCAAGGUCGGAAAGAAAGAGGAAGAAGUUCCCAGGCUUGGGUUUUUAAAAGGUGGUAUUCACAGAGAUGAACUUUUCAGUGGUACAAAAUGCUGUCAGUUCUCAGAAGCGGCCAGCUAUUGGCCUGAUGUCAGACACAGAAGAAACUCCCAGCAGCUUUUCUCAAACAGAUUACUUCUGUGGUGGUUUCCACAUCUUUCCCUGAAUGCCAAACCAUCACACUCAUCAAAAAAGCUUUCUUAUAGGUGCUUAUGAGCAAGAGUGGCCUGACUCUCUUGGAGGACAUGCUUCACAAGACUAGAGACAAGAGGCACAACACAGGAUGCUAUAUUUAGCUUUUCCAACAGGUCAGUAUGAAAGUAACCUAGACCUUUGUGUGAAGUAAAAUCUGUAAGUAUAAAUGUGGCUGAAGCAAAUGCAAAUAGCCAAAAAGUUAUCUUGCUCCUUGCAAAAAGUUUCAUUCAGGGUGAAGGAUCUAAGGAAA